UCCUACGGGGCGCAGCAGUGAGGAAUAUUGGUCAAUGGCCGGGAGGCUGAACCAGCCAAGUCGCGUGAGGGAAGACGGCCCUACGGGUUGUAAACCUCUUUUGUCAGGGAGCAAGGUGCAGGUCGGGACCUGCUGUGAGAGUACCUGAAGAAAAAGCAUCGGCUAACUCCGUGCCAGCAGCCGCGGUAAUACGGAGGAUGCGAGCGUUAUCCGGAUUUAUUGGGUUUAAAGGGUGCGCAGGCGGAGGUGCAAGUCAGUGGUCAAAUUGCGGGGCUCAACCCCGUACUGCCGUUGAAACUGCAUCC
Molecule: ribosomal RNA, 305 nt
Filed under: uncultured bacterium
Lineage: Bacteria
Description: bacterial SSU rRNA
Rfam family: Bacterial small subunit ribosomal RNA
Source: RNAcentral